CCAAAAUCUUGAUCACUUUUCAUCCUCUCCAUUCUCUCUUCUCUCUCUAUCCCAACCUUUCUUAUCUCUCUAGUCACCCGCGUGCCGCCACCAUCCUUGCUAGCUCCACCACACCACCGGCACCACUACCACUAGCAUGUUGAGCGAAUAUGUCGCUCGACACCGUUGCAGUAGCAUUGUUGCCGUUGUCAUCGUCGUCGCUGUGUGGUCAUCACCGUGAUGUCUGGUGAUUUUGGGAUUUGUUUUAGAUUUGACAGCAGUGGGCAUCAUGCAGUGGCGAUGAUACCGUGUCGCGACUCCCAGUCAUUGUCGUAAUGUGUAAUGAUUUUAGUGGUGGGUUUGGCGUCUGAGCACAAUAGUAAUCGUCGUGAUGUGGAGUGAUUUUAGCGAUGGGUUUGGGAUUUAAGCGCAGCGAUUAUCAUGUUUUGGAUCUAAUUUAUGAUGGUUGUGCAAUGAUUUUUGAUUUGGUUUUAUUGUGGUUGUGAAAUGAUUCUGGGGUGGGGUUUGUUGGCUGUGGUGGCGGCGGAAGAGGUGGUGUUGGUUGUGACAACGACAAUAACGGCGAUGCUGGUUGUGGCGGUGGUAGAAUUAGUGGUGGUCGUGGUGACUGCGACGGUGAUUGUAAUAAAUUUUUUUGUUGGUGGUGGAUCUGGCGCGACGAUGUGGUGGUGUUUUCUAAUUUAGGUUGAUUUUUUUGAGGUGGUGGUGGUGACGAAGGUGGUAGUGGUGCUACUGGAAACAGUGGUGAGAAGGUGGUAGCAAGUGUUAAUGAUGAUCAUAAAUUAUUUGAUUGACCGCGACAAUUAAAUUGAUUAAUCUGCGAUCAGAGAAAAAGACAAACUAUGAUCAAGAAAUAUUGUGACCUAAAUUUUUUUUUAUUUGUGAUCGAUAAUUUGAUAAUUCGUGAUUGUAUAAUAAGUUGUGAUUCAUAAUAUUUGUAAUUUGUGAUUGAUAAAUAAAUUGUGAU
RNAcentral lists this long non-coding RNA (967 nucleotides) under Olea europaea subsp. europaea. The record is from RNAcentral. Lineage: Eukaryota; Viridiplantae; Streptophyta; Magnoliopsida; Lamiales; Oleaceae.